GAUGAACGCUGGCGGCGUGCCUAAUACAUGCAAGUCGAGCGAACAGACGAGGAGCUUGCUCCUCUGACGUUAGCGGCGGACGGGUGAGUAACACGUGGAUAACCUACCUAUAAGACUGGGAUAACUUCGGGAAACCGGAGCUAAUACCGUAUAAUAUAUUGAACCGCAUGGUUCAAUAGUGAAAGACGGUUUUGCUGUCACUUAUAGAUGGAUCCGCGCCGCAUUAGCUAGUUGGUAAGGUAACGGCUUACCAAGGCAACGAUGCGUAGCCGACCUGAGAGGGUGAUCGGCCACACUGGAACUGAAACACGGUCCAGACUCCUACGGGAGGCAGCAGUCGGGAAUCUUCCGCAAUGGGCGAAAGCCUGACGGAGCAACGCCGCGUGAGUGAUGAAGGUCUUCGGAUCGUAAAACUCUGUUAUUAGGGAAGAACAAAUGUGUAAGUAACUAUGCACGUAUUGACGGUACCUAAUCAGAAAGCCACGGCUAACUACGUG
RNAcentral lists this ribosomal RNA (497 nucleotides) under uncultured bacterium. Its description in RNAcentral is "partial 16S ribosomal RNA". It matches the Rfam family "Bacterial small subunit ribosomal RNA", at positions 28 to 507 of the family's 1533-position model. The record is from RNAcentral.